GGGUGAUUGAUCGUACCCGCCAGCCGGCUAAUAUCAUAAUUAACAAAGUUACUAUACGUCUACAAAGUUUAAUCGAAAAAUUUGCCGGUGAUAUGAUGGUAUUGUCAUAAAGAUCACAAGGGACACAGAGUGUCGACUUCUGCUCAAGGUGGAGCGGCAGAGCUGUGUAGGCAAGAUGAGAAACGGCCAACUUGUUCAGCCAAA
Molecule: unclassified non-coding RNA, 204 nt
Organism: Dasypus novemcinctus (nine-banded armadillo)
Lineage: Eukaryota; Metazoa; Chordata; Mammalia; Cingulata; Dasypodidae
Source: Ensembl